GAGCGGAGAUAUAUGGAGCUUGCUUUAUAUAACUUAGCAGCGAACGGGUGAGUAACACGUAGAUAAUCUAUCCUAUACUGGGGGAUAGCCCGAUGAAAGUUGGAUUAAUACCGCAUAUAGCUAUAUAGUUGCAUGAUUAUGUAGUGAAAGAUUUAUUGGUAUAGGAGGAGUCUGCGGCACAUUAGCUAGUAGGUGAGGUAAAGGCUUACCUAGGCGACGAUGUGUAGCCGGUCUGAGAGGAUGAACGGCCACAAUGGAACUGAGACACGGUCCAUACUCCUACGGGAGGCAGCAGUGGGGAAUAUUGCACAAUGGGGGAAACCCUGAUGCAGCAACGCCGCGUGAGUGAAGAAGGUUUUCGGAUUGUAAAGCUCUGUUAGCAGGGAAGAGGAAGGACGGUACCUGCAGAGGAAGCCACGGCUAACUACGUGCCAGCAGCCGCGGUAAUACGUAGGUGGCAAGCGUUGUUCGGAAUAACUGGGCGUAAAGGAUGCGUAGGCGGUUAAACAAGUUAUAUGUUAAAUAUAUAGGCUUAACCUGUAGAAAGCAUAUAAAACUGUUUAACUAGAGUGCAGGAGAGGUAAGUGGAAUUCCUAGUGUAGCGGUGAAAUGCGUAGAGAUUAGGAAGAACACCAGUGGCGAAGGCGACUUACUGGACUGUAACUGACGCUGAGGCAUGAGAGCAUGGGGAGCAAACAGGAUUAGAUACCCUGGUAGUCCAUGCUGUAAACGAUGGGUACUAGGUGUGGGUUGUGAAUAACAAUUCGUGCCGUCGCAAACGCAAUAAGUACCCCGCC
This 797-nucleotide ribosomal RNA is filed under the name uncultured bacterium. RNAcentral describes it as "bacterial SSU rRNA". It matches the Rfam family "Bacterial small subunit ribosomal RNA", at positions 64 to 873 of the family's 1533-position model. The record is from RNAcentral.